Molecule: unclassified non-coding RNA, 21 nt
Filed under: Mus musculus (house mouse)
Lineage: Eukaryota; Metazoa; Chordata; Mammalia; Rodentia; Muridae
Description: oocyte_clustered_small_RNA7234
Source: RNAcentral
UGGUUGGUACAGACUGUGUCA